Apodemus sylvaticus (European woodmouse) is the source of this 107-nucleotide small nuclear RNA. NCBI's taxonomy places the organism in Eukaryota, Metazoa, Chordata, Mammalia, Rodentia, Muridae. The record is from RefSeq and is a predicted model, not a curated record.
GUGCUCGCUUUGGCAGCACAUAUACUGAAAUUGGAAUGAUACAAAGAAGAUUAGCAUCGUCCCUGCGCAAGGAUGACACGCAAAUUUGUGAAGCGUUCCAUAGUUUU